UCUCUCUCUCUCUCUCAAUCCGUCAUUAAAGAUUCUGAAAUAUGUUUGGUUUGGAUCUUCUAGGGUUCAUCGAUUUUCUUGUCAUCCUUCCUUGUUGUGACUCCGUUUUUUUUUUCUGGUUUUUGGGCAUUGCAGGUAACCUUCAUCAACUGUUUCAUCUUUUUAAUUAAAUCUCCUCUUCGGUUCUAUUUAUGCAGGAAUCGACUUUUUUGUGUCCAACGGGACAUGUGGUAACACAUAGCACAACAAAGACGCACACACAGCUCGGUUCGGUCUCUUCUACGGUAAAUUCUUCUUUUAUGUUGUUUCUUCGGAGUUUUGACCGUUUGAUAAAUUUGGUAUCUCACACUUUAUGUCCUGAAGUGAAUUUUAUUGUUCAUCAAAAUUAUAACUUUUAUUACCUGCCUUCUUGGUUAUUAUUGUCAUCUUUUUUUUUUUUUUUUUUUUUUUUUGGUUCUAAAGCACGAUACUUUUUGCAGGUCUUCCAUGGCUGCAGUAACCAAACUGAUGUCAGUAUGCUCAUAACUCUAAUCACUUACGAUUUUUAUUAUCUAAUAUAUAGGAUUAAACAGUAGGUGGUUUCAUGAUUACAGCUUCGUCCCUUUAGAAUUAGCCAAUAAUUCAAGUUUAUCCCUCUUUCGUUUUUACUUUUGUUUGUUUCUAUUCACAAGUGUAUAGACGUAACCGUAAGAUGCUAAUGAAUGGUUAAAGGUAUAAUGGCUUAUGGAUGAGGGAGGUGAAGACAUCCCAAAGAGCUAAAGCUUGUUAGAGCUCUACCAUUACAAAAAGGUAACUCUUAAUUGUAGUUAUAGCUUCAUGCUCUAGUUUUAUAACAUAAUUCUGCAACACAUCUUACUUAUGAAUGAGCUUUUCUGUUUUGUUUACAUAUUUUUAGGUACAUCCAUAUGUAGCUAAGCUAGUUACUGAACCAAGACCUCGAAGUUGUAAUGGAUUUUUGCUGAGGGAGGUUAAGGCACAUCCCAAAGUGCUGAAGCUUGUUGGUGCUCAUUGUCAUAUAAGCUCUGGCAUGAUUACUAAGGUAUCUCUGAUUUUGUUACUUUAUGCUUACUUUACAUAUACCCAGAUGAAUACGACUUGCUCUAUAUUCAUGUUUUCCUUUGCUAUGUCUCUUAAUUCACUACUCUUAAGCUAUACAUAUUUGCGUAUGUUUUUUUUUUAUUCCAGGUGGUUAUAUUUAGAGAUAAUGAUGCAGUCUUAUGGUGGAAAACAUUGAUCAAAUCCAACUCUUAGGUUACUGUGGUAGGACGAGUUUCUGAUACUAAUUAGCAAAUAUUUCAAUUUCUUCCCCUUUCUUUUUUACUUUGGUUUGCUUCUAUUUGCAGGUGUAUCUACUUUAACAUGGGGAAUGAUUCAAGGUCUUAAUCGCUAGAUCUUAAUUGUGGUUAGGUUAACUCUAUUUGC
This 1422-nucleotide long non-coding RNA is filed under the name Capsella grandiflora. Its description in RNAcentral is "long non-coding RNA (CGRA_LNC000880)". The record is from RNAcentral. Lineage: Eukaryota; Viridiplantae; Streptophyta; Magnoliopsida; Brassicales; Brassicaceae.